This 253-nucleotide ribosomal RNA is filed under the name uncultured bacterium. Its description in RNAcentral is "partial 16S ribosomal RNA". It matches the Rfam family "Bacterial small subunit ribosomal RNA", at positions 524 to 776 of the family's 1533-position model. The record is from RNAcentral.
UACGUAGGGGGCUAGCGUUGUCCGGAAUCAUUGGGCGUAAAGCGCGUGUAGGCGGUCCGGUAAGUCCGCUGUGAAAGUCGGGGGCUCAACCCUCGAAUGCCGGUGGAUACUGUCGGGCUAGAGUGCGGAAGAGGCGAGUGGAAUUCCUGGUGUAGCGGUGAAAUGCGCAGAUAUCAGGAGGAACACCGAUGGCGAAGGCAGGUCUCUGGGCCGAUACUGACGCUGAGGAGCGAAAGCGUGGGGAGCGAACAGG